CCGCGAUUCGCCCUUCGGGGUGCAGCAGGCGCGAAAACUCUACAAUGCAGGCAACUGCGAUAGGGGAACAUCGAGUGAUACUCAUCUUGGGUGUCUGUCCUCCCGUCUAAAAAACGGGAGUUAGCAAGGGCCGGGCAAGACCGGUGCCAGCCGCCGCGGUAAUACCGGCGGCUCGAGUGGUGGCCGAUAUUAUUGAGUCUAAAGGGUCCGUAGCCGGCUUUGCAAGUCUUUUGGGAAAUCCAGCGGCUUAACCGUUGGUCGUCCGGGAGAUACUACAUUGCUUGGGACUGGGAGAGGUAGGAGGUACUCAGGGGGUAGGAGUGAAAUCCUGUAAUCCUUUGGGGACCACCGGUGGCGAAGGCGUCCUACCAGAACAGGUCCGACGGUGAGGGACGAAAGCUAGGGGCACGAACCGGAUUAGAUACCCGGGUAGUCCUAGCCGUAAACGAUGCUCGCUAGGUGUCACAACAAUCGUGAAUUGUUGUGGUGCCGUAGGGAAGCCGUGAAGCGAGCCACUUGGGAAGUACGACCGCAAGGUUGAAACUUAAAGGAAUUGGCGGGGGAGCAC
RNAcentral lists this ribosomal RNA (568 nucleotides) under uncultured archaeon. RNAcentral describes it as "bacterial SSU rRNA". It matches the Rfam family "Archaeal small subunit ribosomal RNA", at positions 311 to 879 of the family's 1478-position model. The record is from RNAcentral.